Molecule: ribosomal RNA, 47 nt
Filed under: Blumeria americana
Lineage: Eukaryota; Fungi; Ascomycota; Leotiomycetes; Helotiales; Erysiphaceae
Description: partial 28S ribosomal RNA
Source: RNAcentral
UUGACCUCGAAUCAGGUAGGGAUACCCGCUGAACUUAAGCAUAUCAA